RNAcentral lists this ribosomal RNA (253 nucleotides) under uncultured bacterium. Its description in RNAcentral is "partial 16S ribosomal RNA". It matches the Rfam family "Bacterial small subunit ribosomal RNA", at positions 524 to 776 of the family's 1533-position model. The record is from RNAcentral.
UACGAAGGGGGCUAGCGUUGCUCGGAAUCACUGGGCGUAAAGGGUGCGUAGGCGGGUCUUUAAGUCAGGGGUGAAAUCCUGGAGCUCAACUCCAGAACUGCCUUUGAUACUGAGGAUCUUGAGUUCGGGAGAGGUGAGUGGAAUUCCCAGUGUAGCGGUGAAAUGCGUAGAUAUUGGGAGGAACACCAGUGGCGAAGGCGGCUCACUGGACCGGAACUGACGCUGAGGCGCGAAAGCGUGGGGAGCAAACAGG